GGGGCUUGUGCAAUGGAAGUUCGUGAACCCUGUCAGGUCCGAGAGGAAGCAGCAGUAAGCGAAUCCUUUCAUGUGCCACGAGG
Molecule: signal recognition particle RNA, 83 nt
Filed under: human gut metagenome
Description: Bacterial small signal recognition particle RNA
Rfam family: Bacterial small signal recognition particle RNA
About the family: The signal recognition particle (SRP) is a universally conserved ribonucleoprotein involved in the co-translational targeting of proteins to membranes. Archaeal SRP consists of a 7S RNA and homologues of the eukaryotic SRP19 and SRP54 proteins.
Source: RNAcentral